Molecule: ribosomal RNA, 253 nt
Filed under: uncultured bacterium
Lineage: Bacteria
Description: partial 16S ribosomal RNA
Rfam family: Bacterial small subunit ribosomal RNA
Source: RNAcentral
UACGUAGGGGGCAAGCGUUAUCCGGAUUUACUGGGUGUAAAGGGAGCGUAGACGGCGCUGCAAGUCCGGAGUGAAAGCCCAUGGCUUAACCAUGGUACUGCUCUGGAAACUGUGGAGCUUGAGUGCGGGAGGGGCAGGCGGAAUUCCUAGUGUAGCGGUGAAAUGCGUAGAUAUUAGGAGGAACACCGGCGGCGAAGGCGGCCUGCUGGACCGUAACUGACGUUGAGGCUCGAAAGCGUGGGGAGCGAACAGG